AUACUGUGCAAAAAGAAAAACAAGUUUAUUGCGCUAUUAUCACGCAAAACUCUUCAAAAUAAAGUAUAAAAGCGGCGAAGCUAUCUUUCCGCUUGUCACUAAAAUGUUGCUUUUAGUUAUAUUUUCUACUUUCCUGAAUUAUUGUUUAGCUGCCAGCGUUCAAUGGAGCGAAGUCUGGUUUUUGGUAUCUUUGAGCUACAAAAAUCACCGCAAUUUUUGUAGCGGAUCUCUGGUGCUUAAUAAGAGAACUAUUCUUACAGCUGCUUCUUGUAUGACAAAGCUUGAGGAUAACAUACAAUACAAAGAUAUUGAAGUCCACCUUAACGGUUAUCCACCGACGUAUACAGUGCGAAAUUUUCUAGUACAUCCCCAGUUCGACGUCAGCAAACCUGGCAUCAACGACCUUGCUUUACUCUACUUGAAACAACCCGCCGUAUUUAACAUCCUUUUCAGCAUUUUCACGUUCACUCUUGCCAAACCAAUUCAUUUGAGUUCAGUAAGUCAAAAUGCUGUUGUUGUGGCAGUUGAAUUGAACGCUGACAGAAAAAUGGUUUAUAACAGGGAGAUAAGAGUUGUUAGUUCUGAAAAGAAUUUUUGCGAGAGUACUGAGAGUACCAUUUGUGCUCUAGAUAAUACAACAGGCAACUACUGCGGCAAAAAUUUCGGGGGGCCAGUUAUAGAUAAAAAAUCGAAAACUAUUGUUGGUAUUAUUCCUUAUAAUACUAAAGCAAAUUGUUCGACAGGACACGCCGAACAGUUUGUAAGGCUGUCAAACUACAAAGACUGGAUUGAAAGUGAACUUAAGAAAUUAGCUUGGUUUAACUCUCCCCAAGACAAAUUUCGAUUUUAAUAUAAUACAUAUGGUAUUAGAUUCCCAACCUUGAAACAAACGAAACCAUUUUAAUUUUAAUGUCUGUGAAUGAAAUGUUUCAUUUAUAGCAAGUUUAUAACAUUUUCGAAUGAGCAAUAAAGAACACAUGCUUAUAAAAAAACUCGAAUCUUUUUAAUUUGGUACCAAAGUUACCUUUAUGUUACAAUAAAAAACGCACUUUAUGCACAAUACACCUCAAAGGCAAUUCAAAUUUUUACGAAAAUGUUGCUUAUAACGUUAUUUCUGUCUCUAUUGAGUUCUUGUUUGUCAGAAAUUGUAAAAUUGAGCGAAUAUCCUUACAUAGCAACUUUGAGCUAUGGAAGUGACCGUAGUGUUUGUGGUGGAGCUUUUGUGAGCGAAAGAGUUUUUCUAACAGCUGCAUCAUGCAUGUCAGGUCUAAAAUUAACACAAGUGAUUUCGGAAAUGUACGUUGAAAGCUUCCCAAACAAGUACAAAGUUCAAGACCUUGUAAAGCAUCCAGACUUUGAGGAAGACAGUUGUGAUUCACCCGAUCUUGCUUUACUCUACUUAAAAAAGUCCACAAUAUUUAGCAUUAUUUUAAGUAUUGUGAGCCUUAAACCGAAUUUACCCAUUUACAUAGGUGCAGUUAGUCAAAACGCUGUUGUUUCUGCAUUUUACGUAGAUUCUGGAGCCAGACAUGCAUACAAGAAAGAUCUGCUAACUGUUACUUCCGAAGAAGGAUUUUGUGAUAGUACUGACGGUACUUUUUGCGCUAAAAACGUACACCCAAGCAACCCCUGUGUUAACACGUUUGGCGGACCAGUUGUAAAUAGCGAUAAAGAGUUGGUUGGAAUAAUUCCCUAUGAUGCUGAAUGUACGUCAUGUCAUGCUGAACAAUUCAUAAGAAUAUCAUAUUAUAAAGAGUGGAUGAAAAAAACAAUUAAAAAAUUUACUUAAACAUAUCAUAAUUUCAGAUCUUGCCAGCUGUGCUUGAAAUAAACUGUUUUCCAACGUA
Molecule: RNA transcript, 1847 nt
Organism: Tribolium castaneum (red flour beetle)
Lineage: Eukaryota; Metazoa; Arthropoda; Insecta; Coleoptera; Tenebrionidae
Exons: 6
Source: RefSeq, a predicted model, not a curated record